Molecule: long non-coding RNA, 262 nt
Filed under: Panax ginseng (ginseng)
Lineage: Eukaryota; Viridiplantae; Streptophyta; Magnoliopsida; Apiales; Araliaceae
Description: long non-coding RNA (PGIN_LNC002970)
Source: RNAcentral
UGAAAGAAAAAAGCAAGUUGGUGGUAUUAUUAUGAUUGUGGGGUUGGUUUUGGUUUGUCUUGGUUUUGUUAUAUGAUUAUGAUUAUGAUUAUGAUUAUGAUGGGGUCUAUUGCUUUUGCUUUUCUUUAAAUUAUGCAAGUGCUUGGGUGUAUUAAGUUUGUUUUCAACAAGUCUAUCGAGUUCAUAUUUAGAUUUUAUGCGACUUGUAUGUAGCAUAGUACGUAAUAUUAUUAAUGAAUUGGUUACUUUGCUUUGAUUUACG